AUAGAUCUUCUCAUUUAGGCUUCAAAGGGCCAAGGUGAGGAAGAACUGACAGGGUUUGGAGAGGCACGGUGCAGGCAGGGCUGCGGCUCUCGGCUUGGGGUGGGAGCACCACCCAGAGACCCACAGUGGCUCAUGUCCCCAUCCCAGCAUAGUGGCCGGGACAGAGCUUGGGUGCGGUGGCCACAGGGCAAGGAGGGGUCAGGACCGUGGCGGGUGCGGACCUUGGAGCCCUGCGUUCUCCAGCCGAAGACCCACUAGGCCCUGGGAGAGAAUAGUGCGUGUGUAUGAGUGUGAUUUUUGUGUGUGUAUUGUGUGUGUGUGUAUUGUGUGUGAGUGUGAUUUUUGCGCAAGUUGUGUAUUUGCGUGUGAGUGUGAUUUGGGGUAAGACUGUACUAUGUGUGUGUGAUUUUUGUGUAUUGUGUGACUUUUGUGCGUGUGUAUUUGUGAGUGCGAGGGUGUGUUGUGUGUGAUUUUUGUGUGAGUGUGUAUUUGUGUGUGAUUUUUGUGCGAGUGUGUACUGUGUGUUAUUUUGAGUGUGUAUUAUGUGUGUCUGAGUGUGACUUUUGUGUGAAUGUGUACUGUGUGUGUGCGCAUGUGUGGGCAUGUUCUCUGGCCCCUCCAGCCAUGGGUCUACCACUUGCCCCGCCCCACCCUUUCCCGACGUGCACACACAGACGUGCACACAUGUGUUACACACAGGAGCGUCUAAUUACUGCCUCACAGCAGGCGGGCGUCCGACAGCUGGGGCAGCCAGAGGACAUUCCAUUUUCGGUGAAGCCGACAACACUGGAAACCACCCAACUGGGGUGUGAGUGCACCCUCUCAGGAGUGACUUAGUCAAUGAGAGGCAGCCGGCCCGGGAGGGAGGCCUGUGUUCUGCUCCCACCCCACCCCCGCUCUGCCUCACACCUGCUGCCCUCCCUCCCUCCCGUCUGUCUCGCUCCCGCCUCUCUAAGGCUGCACCGACCUGGCAGACACACGCACCUGUCACCGGCCUCGCCUGCGCCCUGUCCCGUCCCACUGUCUCCUCUCCUCUCCACACCACCAGGGCCCCCGCCAGCUGCCAGGAGCCCCAGCACCAGCUGUGGGCGGGAUUCUGGCCGGGCAGCCUCCCUCUGGGAAUCAUCGGCCUAUUCCCUGGGUUCCUUCUUCCCUAAAGACAGUGCCUGGCCCCUGCUGUGGGCCAAACUGCCUGCACCCACCAGGUUUUGGGGUCUCAGGGUCACCUGCUUCCCCUCCCUAAUCCUGGCCUCUGCCCCACUUCUGGGAGACCCCUUUUUGAUCCCCAGCCCAACCUUGCUCAGGGACAGAACCACCCUCUGGGGUGCAGGGCUGGGCUGUGACACCUUGUUCUGCCUCCUGGGCUGUGCCCCUCCCCACAGGGGCCUCGCCAGGGCCAUGCCCGGCAUGGUGGGGAGGGGGCUAGCACCUCACAUCAGGGCAGGGCCAGUGUCCAUUGUGAGGUAAGGCGAUGAAGAUGAUGAUGCCCUCAGAAGUUGGCAAAGAGGCUGACACAGGCCAAAAGGGGUGCCAGGGGUGCAGGACGGGAGGUGGGUGUGAGGCACAGGUAACCUUGACCUUGAGGAAGGGGCAGUGGUGGCCGUGAACCUGCGAAUCCACGGAGAAGAAUCAGACGAGGGGCAGACAUGUUCGUGAACUUGCCUGAGUUCCCACGGCAACUAAGUGGUGGGGCCGGGGCCUAAGCCAAGGCAGCCUGGCCCCAUAGCCCCUGUGACUAACCACAUCCCACGUGGCUCACAGGGCAGACACCAGAUGUCCAUGAGAGAGUGGACCAGAACCUUGUGAGGCGUGGGCCCGAUGGAGUACUAUGCAGCAGUGAAAAAGAAGGAACCACAGAGCCAUGUGCACAGAGUGGAUCCCACUCACAAAUACGCCUCCCAGCCAACAAGCAAGCUCUCCAAGAUACCUGCUGUACCACACGCCAUAUCCAAAGCGUCAGAGCCUGCAAAAGCGUAUUACAUAGGCGUUUGUACAAAUAUGGUCAAAGUAUACAAAAUGUGUCACGAUAACGUUGUGGAGGUCUGUCGCACAACACCGCAAAUCCACUGAACACCACUGAACCGCGUGCUGAAAUGCUUAAGAUGGACCUCCCUCUGCCAUGGGCAGGGGUACUGAUUGGCUUCAAAAACUCCUGGACAGCAGAUCGUGAGCGAUGGUUUUGGGUGCAGUCCCUCCCUCAGAACACCCUCCUCGACCCUGACAGGCCCGGCUUCCUCUGGGCACUGAGGAAACACCCGAUGGACUGAGUGUGGUGGGCUUGGCAGGUGCGUAACUCGAUGCCCUGCAUGCAAAUGGUGCCCGUGAGAAGCUGAACCUUCAUCUCACAGGCUGAUGGCUUUAAGGCCCCAGCUGUUCUUCUUCCAGCCGACAAGGCGUUUAAAGCACCUACUAUGUGCCAGACGCCACGCUAGGGCAUGGCACAGGGCAGAUGCACUGUCCAGCAAGUUCGCUGCCUUGUGUGUGCCUUCCAGCGUGCCUGGAGUCACAUCAAGAGACGCUCCCAAUAUUGGCCUCUGCCCCCUGAGAGCUUGCACUCACACACUUAGGCCCUGAGAGGGAAAGGGAUUUUCCCUGAGUUACACAGUGAGGUCAUCCCUCUCCAAGGUGACACCCCUGUAGCUCCCUGAAAACAUCAGGCCUGGUUGGGCAGCCAGGAGGAGGGUGAGUGAGUGAUCAGCCAUGUAACUGCCUCCCACCGGCUCUCCCUCCCCCAGUGCAAGUUGCUAAAUCUUUCUGUGCCUCUCAGCUACCUCACAGGGAUGAGAGAGCUCAUUACAGUAAUGCCAGACAGGUUUUAUCCAAUGUUUAAUUUUGCAAGUGCUGACACGUGUUUAUUUAAACAUGUUAUUAAACACAUAGAAAUACCA
Molecule: long non-coding RNA, 2888 nt
Organism: Homo sapiens (human)
Lineage: Eukaryota; Metazoa; Chordata; Mammalia; Primates; Hominidae
Exons: 4
Source: RefSeq, a predicted model, not a curated record